This 478-nucleotide ribosomal RNA is filed under the name uncultured bacterium. RNAcentral describes it as "partial 16S ribosomal RNA". It matches the Rfam family "Bacterial small subunit ribosomal RNA", at positions 28 to 523 of the family's 1533-position model. The record is from RNAcentral.
GACGAACGCUGGCGGCGUGCUUAACACAUGCAAGUCGAACGGUAAGGCCCUUCGGGGUACACGAGUGGCGAACGGGUGAGUAACACGUGGGUGAUCUGCCCUGCACUUCGGGAUAAGCCUGGGAAACUGGGUCUAAUACCGGAUAGGACCACUGCCUGCAUGGGUGGUGGUGGAAAGCUUUUGCGGUGUGGGAUGGGCCCGCGGCCUAUCAGCUUGUUGGUGGGGUGAGGGCCUACCAAGGCGACGACGGGUAGCCGGCCGGGGAGGGUGACCGGCCACACUGGGACUGAGAGACGGCCCAGACGCCUACGGGAGGCAGCAGUGGGGAAUAUUGCACAAUGGGCGCAAGCCUGAUGCAGCGACGCCGCGGGAGGGAUGACGGCCUUCGGGUUGUAAACCUCUUUCAGCACCGACGAAGCGCAAGUGACGGUAGGUGCAGAAGAAGGUCCGGCCAACUACGUGCCAGCCGCCGCCGUAA